RNAcentral lists this microRNA precursor (204 nucleotides) under Oryza rufipogon (brownbeard rice). Its description in RNAcentral is "MIR812 microRNA precursor family". It matches the Rfam family "MIR812 microRNA precursor family". The record is from Rfam by way of RNAcentral. Lineage: Eukaryota; Viridiplantae; Streptophyta; Magnoliopsida; Poales; Poaceae.
AAAAAGGCAAACCCUGGGUUUCCGUGUCCAACUUUAAUUGUCCGUCUUAUAUAUUUUUUUUUAUAAUUUGUAUUUUCAUUGUUGUUAGAUGAUAAAACAUGAUUAAUAUUUUAUGUGUGACUUGUCUUUUUAAUUUUUUUCAUAAUUUUUUUAAAUAAGACGGACGGUCAAACGUUGGACACGGAAAUCAGGGUUUCUCUUUUG